Long non-coding RNA from Hevea brasiliensis (rubber tree), 834 nucleotides. RefSeq lists it as uncharacterized. The record is from RefSeq and is a predicted model, not a curated record. The transcript has 2 exons. NCBI's taxonomy places the organism in Eukaryota, Viridiplantae, Streptophyta, Magnoliopsida, Malpighiales, Euphorbiaceae.
AAACCCGGCGACCCGAUUAGGGAACAGCUACACACGGGAAGCCCGUUACUAGGGACCGAUCCCCCACUAUAAAAUAUGGUAAAAAAAUGUAUUUUUUAAUUUCUAUCUAAUCUCCUUUCUUCCAAUAAAACUCAAAUCUUCCCCCACAAAUUGAAAUUUUUGAUUUUGGGUUUUGGAUUCUCCAACCAAAAACCCUACAAAACCAUUCAGUUCUCAUCCUUGCUUAUCGAAGCAGAAGAUCUUUGUCGACAGAGAGAGCAUCGUCAACGGAGAGGUGUUUUCGCUACAAAUUUACGAGGAAGAAAAUAUAUCCUUAAAUGGGUAUUUAGGCGAUAGAUUUGAUUUCUCCUCCGUUUUUCGAGUAGUGUGCUUUUUUUUUUUUUUUUGAAUUAGUCAAGAGACGAACAUGAGUCGUCACCAUCACCAUCACCAUCAUGGAGAUAGCCCAUACGACGAUCCCUUCUUGGCGUGUUGUUGCUGUCCUUGCUUCCUUGUAUCUUCCAUAUUUAGGGGAAUUGGAGGAUGCUUAUACGCUGCUUGUUACCCUUUUUUGAGGUGCUUCGGAUUGGACGAGAUGGGAGACCACCAUCACCACCACCACCACCAUUUCCAUUGAUCCUAAGGUUAUAAGAUUUGAUCACCCGCUGGUGCAGGCUCUUUUGUUUAGUUUUCCAUUUCCAUAAAUUCUUUCAAUUGGAAAGAAAAUUCCAAAGACUAUUUUCGUUGCAUGCAAAAGAACAAUAUGUAGUAUGUAAUAGAAUUUUUCUAUGACUCAGAGAGUUCGAGAUGAACUUUCAUUAUCUGGGUUCCAUUUUACAGCAUCUCAUUCAUUUA